This 345-nucleotide long non-coding RNA is filed under the name Gallus gallus (chicken). RNAcentral describes it as "long non-coding RNA NONGGAT008235". The record is from RNAcentral. Lineage: Eukaryota; Metazoa; Chordata; Aves; Galliformes; Phasianidae.
UUCAGAGUGUAGGGUCAAGAUUUUUGAAAGGAACAGGAGAAAGACCUGGCUGGAGGCUGGGAGAUGCUCAUCAUGGGGUCCUAUACCAAACAGGGGAGGAGGGGUAAAGCUCUUCUCACUUUCCAGGAUUGUUUCUAAGGACAGUCUGAUGAAAUGUGAAGUGAUUCCAGAACAACUGAGAGCACUGGCCCUACUUCCCAACAGCUUGGAUCAAAAAUGUAUCUGUCACAUUGUAUGGCAAAGAAAAUGUUCAGUAGCAGGAGCAUUACAAGAAGUUAGGAUCUCUGUUACAGGUUUUGCAAAAAGCUGUGUGCAAUUCCAUAAUAGUGCUGCGAAUCCUGCUGG